GGGCAGAUUCCAGAGCGGUCAAAUGGGGGGGACUGUAAAUCCCUUGUCUACGACUUCGGGGGUUCGAAUCCCUCUCUGCCCACCA
RNAcentral lists this transfer RNA (85 nucleotides) under Candidatus Gracilibacteria bacterium HOT-871. RNAcentral's name for it is "tRNA-Tyr". It matches the Rfam family "tRNA". From Rfam's summary of the family: Transfer RNA (tRNA) molecules are approximately 80 nucleotides in length. Their secondary structure includes four short double-helical elements and three loops (D, anti-codon, and T loops). The record is from RNAcentral. RNAcentral also lists the same sequence under 1 other name. Lineage: Bacteria; Candidatus Altimarinota.